Molecule: ribosomal RNA, 1490 nt
Filed under: metagenome
Description: bacterial SSU rRNA
Rfam family: Bacterial small subunit ribosomal RNA
Source: RNAcentral
AGAGUUUGAUCCUGGCUCAGAUUGAACGCUGGCGGCAUGCCUUACACAUGCAAGUCGAACGGCAGCACGAGAGCUUGCUCUUGGUGGCGAGUGGCGAACGGGUGAGUAAUAUAUCGGAACGUACCCUAGAGUGGGGGAUAACGUAGCGAAAGUUACGCUAAUACCGCAUACGAUCUACGGAUGAAAGUGGGGGAUCGCAAGACCUCAUGCUCAUGGAGCGGCCGAUAUCUGAUUAGCUAGUUGGUGGGGUAAAAGCUCACCAAGGCGACGAUCAGUAGCUGGUCUGAGAGGACGACCAGCCACACUGGAACUGAGACACGGUCCAGACUCCUACGGGAGGCAGCAGUGGGGAAUUUUGGACAAUGGGCGCAAGCCUGAUCCAGCAAUGCCGCGUGAGUGAAGAAGGCCUUCGGGUUGUAAAGCUCUUUUGUCAGGGAAGAAACGGUGGACUCUAAUACAGAUCACUAAUGACGGUACCUGAAGAAUAAGCACCGGCUAACUACGUGCCAGCAGCCGCGGUAAUACGUAGGGUGCAAGCGUUAAUCGGAAUUACUGGGCGUAAAGCGUGCGCAGGCGGUUGUGCAAGACAGAUGUGAAAUCCCCGGGCUCAACCUGGGAAUUGCAUUUGUGACUGCACGGCUAGAGUGUGUCAGAGGGGGGUAGAAUUCCACGUGUAGCAGUGAAAUGCGUAGAGAUGUGGAGGAAUACCGAUGGCGAAGGCAGCCCCCUGGGAUAACACUGACGCUCAUGCACGAAAGCGUGGGGAGCAAACAGGAUUAGAUACCCUGGUAGUCCACGCCCUAAACGAUGUCUACUAGUUGUCGGGUCUUAAUUGACUUGGUAACGCAGCUAACGCGUGAAGUAGACCGCCUGGGGAGUACGGUCGCAAGAUUAAAACUCAAAGGAAUUGACGGGGACCCGCACAAGCGGUGGAUGAUGUGGAUUAAUUCGAUGCAACGCGAAAAACCUUACCUACCCUUGACAUGUCUGGAAUCCUUGAGAGAUCAGGGAGUGCUCGAAAGAGAAUCAGAACACAGGUGCUGCAUGGCUGUCGUCAGCUCGUGUCGUGAGAUGUUGGGUUAAGUCCCGCAACGAGCGCAACCCUUGUCAUUAGUUGCUACGAAGGGCACUCUAAUGAGACUGCCGGUGACAAACCGGAGGAAGGUGGGGAUGACGUCAAGUCCUCAUGGCCCUUAUGGGUAGGGCUUCACACGUCAUACAAUGGUACAUACAGAGGGCCGCCAACCCGCGAGGGGGAGCUAAUCCCAGAAAGUGUAUCGUAGUCCGGAUUGUAGUCUGCAACUCGACUACAUGAAGUUGGAAUCGCUAGUAAUCGCGGAUCAGCAUGUCGCGGUGAAUACGUUCCCGGGUCUUGUACACACCGCCCGUCACACCAUGGGAGCGGGUUUCACCAGAAGUGGGUAGCCUAACCGCAAGGAGGGCGCUCACCACGGUGGGAUUCGUGACUGGGGUGAAGUCGUAACAAGGUA